CCUAAAUUCACAAACUCAGAAAUAGAACCCCCAAAACUUUUAUCCCCCUUCAAACCCUCUCUAAAAAUCCCUCUCUAAACUUCUUUUUCGCUCUAAAAAUCCCUCUCACUGUAAACCCACUUCGUCUUCCCCCUCAAAUCUCUCGAAAUUUCCCAGUUUUAAGGGAUUCAGUUCGAGAAUGGACUCUAUGAUUGUAAGCAAGUCUGCGUGCUCGGCUCCGUGUGAAGUAUUUGCACAAGAAAGCUUCAGAAUAUGACAUCGGGAUCUAUUUUGAAGCAAAUGGUCAUGGAACAAUUCUAUUUUCAGAAGAUUUUAUAUCUAUCCUACAUGAUGUGGAGAAAGAGCUUGCUUCUUGUCCAGAUCACAUGGCAUGGGAACAAUUUGAUACACCCGGUGAAAAAGCUCCAAACUCAUUAUACAGAGAAACAUGACUUGUAAGCAUUGCCAACAUACAAACAUGAGAAAAUAAGUAAAAUUUAUUAAUUUUUGUAAAUAAAUUCUUUAAAUUUGGAAAGUUUGAUUUAGCCAAUAUUUCUAUUCAAUUUAGUUACAACUUUUGAUGACUGUUGAAUUGAAUGAGAUUCUGAAUCAAACACCAAUGUAUGCUAUUCUGUUCACCUGGAUUGUUGCAAGAUGAGCAACGAGCAUUUCUCCUUCAGCACUGAUGACAUGUCUUGUUGCAAGAUGAGACCAGUCAUGUAUGAUGACAAGGAGGACCUUCAAUCUGUAGCCUUUGCAUACCUUCAGCAUUCGUAACGGUGAACCAACUCAUCGUUAAUUUUGGUGUAUAGCUCCGAGAGCAAUGAUUUUAAGCAGAAAAUAUAGAACAUUAGUGAGCUCCUGGAUAGAACCUUUGCAAGAAGAGGCUGUGGGAUUCGAGAUUGAUUAUGUGGCUAGAUGAGGAAGAAGGUGAAGAAGGAGAAGAAGAGGGCUUGAGUAAAUGUAUAGGGAAGGAGUUGAAGAAGUUUCUGCAGUGUCAUAGCCGUUGUAAAUAAUUUAUGUAAAAGUUUGUAAACAAUUUAUGUAUCUCUCUACUAUUUUGGUGAAAGUAUUAUUUGAAUAUAAUUGGAUUUGA
Asparagus officinalis (garden asparagus) is the source of this 1075-nucleotide long non-coding RNA. RefSeq lists it as uncharacterized. Lineage: Eukaryota; Viridiplantae; Streptophyta; Magnoliopsida; Asparagales; Asparagaceae. The record is from RefSeq and is a predicted model, not a curated record. The transcript is spliced from 5 exons.